UUGACCUCGGAUCAGGUAGGGAUACCCGCUGAACUUAAGCAUAUCAAUAGCCCGGAGGAA
This 60-nucleotide ribosomal RNA is filed under the name Lasiodiplodia theobromae. Its description in RNAcentral is "partial 28S ribosomal RNA". Lineage: Eukaryota; Fungi; Ascomycota; Dothideomycetes; Botryosphaeriales; Botryosphaeriaceae. The record is from RNAcentral.